This 200-nucleotide ribosomal RNA is filed under the name uncultured bacterium. RNAcentral's name for it is "partial 16S ribosomal RNA". It matches the Rfam family "Bacterial small subunit ribosomal RNA", at positions 524 to 721 of the family's 1533-position model. The record is from RNAcentral.
UACGGAGGAUCCAAGCGUUAUCCGGAAUCAUUGGGUUUAAAGGGUCCGUAGGUGGAUAAUUAAGUCAGAGGUGAAAGUUGUCAGCACUCAACUGUAAAAUUGCCUUUGAUACUGGUUAUCUUGAAUUAUUAUGAAGUAGUUAGAAUAUGUAGUGUAGCGGUGAAAUGCAUAGAUAUUACAUAGAAUACCAAUUGCGAAGG